CUUUUCUUUUCCUUUCUUUUCUUGGAAAAUAAAGUUGUUACCGAUCUGUGUUUCCUAUAUACGAGGCUGCUUUUAAGGCCGUGUUUGGAUCUUUCUAUUUACUGCUACUUCAUCACUGCUGCUGCAAUUAAUGGCUGUUCCAUCUCAGAAACACUCUCAAAAGCCUGUUGAAGAAAUGAUGAGGAAUCUUAAAGUUGAUGAAGCUUCCGUAGAACUCACCGAUUCUAAUAUGGUUCCUUCAAAGGAUGGGAGCCCUUCAGAUGCAACGUCAUGUAUUUCAUCCACAGGAGAUGCAACAGUUAGUGUCAAGGAAGGCGAUGUAGAUCGUGAAUCCUUGACAACUGCCCAAGGCUUGCCAAAUCCAUCAUGUGGCUACUAUGGAUAUUUCUAUCCAGGUUAUGAUGGCACUUUUGGAGGGCUGGACGACCAAGCAUACUAUGUGGCUUGUGAUGGAAUGCAACUUCAAUAUCCAGUCAUGCAAGCAGAUAAUGGAUCUUUGAUCUACUUAAUGCCAGGAAUACACCCAGGUUACAGUCCAUACUUACCUGUAAACAUGUUUGGCAUAGAUGGACAGCAUGUUGUCCAACAACCAUUUCCUUCAAACCCCAUGUUACAACCAUCAAUUGCCCCUGGAUAUAUUCCAACUCCUUUUCUAGUGCCACCACCCUACCUGUGGGAUCCAUCUGUUUAUGUUGGGGAGGGAGCAUAUGGAAAUGGCUAUAGUGGAAUUGUGGAAAUUUCUGGCUCUAAACCUAACAUGUCAUCUCACAGUCAUACCCAUGCUCAUUCAAAAAAUUUAUGGACUCCUGACUUUAGUGAUUCACUAGAAAAUAAGAGCUCCCUUCCGACAUUAGAUGCAUCAUCUGGUCAUGGCAUGCAUAACCAGUUAAAAUCAGUGGCCAAGGUAUUUUAGUCCUCUUCUUUUCAGUUGAUUUUGAUGAACAUCUUUUAGGCUUUACGCCAUGUCUGAUGUCUCUACAUUUCAGUCAGAUGUAUCACUUGAAGGUUAUUUUCCAUUGGCCAAGUUUCCACCAUAUAAUCAAGGGAAGGGUGGAGUGCUCUAUCCAAACACCCCUGUUAAAGCAAGUGCAAGGGGUUGGAGCAACACUGAAAAGCCAAAAGCAAGAAGCAAGAUUGGUAACAUUAGCGAUUUUGGCUUCCUCAAUGAGCAGAAUUAUGGUCCUAGGACAACUAAUGCUAAGGGUUCUUUUACUUUUGGAGGUAAUGCUGCUGGAUCUUUGGAUACUGACGGGAACGGAAACAGUAACAGCCUAACUUCUGUAAUUAGGAGGGAUCAAUAUAACCUUCCUGAUUUUCCAACCAAAUACGAUCAUGCGUUUUUCUUUGUUAUCAAAUCUUACAGUGAAGAUGAUAUUCAUAAGAGCAUCAAGUACAAUGUGUGGGCCAGUACCCCUAAUGGAAAUAAGAGACUGGAUAGUGCAUAUCAAGAUGCACAAGAGAAAAUGGCAGAGAAAGGCAGCAAUUGUCCUGUGUUCCUUUUCUUUUCAGUAAAUGCAAGUGGCCAGUUCUGUGGAGUAGCC
This 1541-nucleotide unclassified non-coding RNA is filed under the name Hevea brasiliensis (rubber tree). Lineage: Eukaryota; Viridiplantae; Streptophyta; Magnoliopsida; Malpighiales; Euphorbiaceae. The record is from RNAcentral.